This 599-nucleotide ribosomal RNA is filed under the name uncultured bacterium. Its description in RNAcentral is "bacterial SSU rRNA". It matches the Rfam family "Bacterial small subunit ribosomal RNA", at positions 65 to 657 of the family's 1533-position model. The record is from RNAcentral.
AACGACAUCGAAAGCUUGCUUUUGAUGGGCGUCGACCGGCGCACGGGUGAGUAACGCGUAUCCAACCUGCCCACCACUUGGGGAUAACCUUGCGAAAGUAAGACUAAUACCCAAUGAUAUCUCUAGAAGACAUCUGAAGGAGAUUAAAGAUUUAUCGGUGAUGGAUGGGGAUGCGUCUGAUUAGCUUGUUGGCGGGGUAACGGCCCACCAAGGCUACGAUCAGUAGGGGUUCUGAGAGGAAGGUCCCCCACAUUGGAACUGAGACACGGUCCAAACUCCUACGGGAGGCAGCAGUGAGGAAUAUUGGUCAAUGGACGAGAGUCUGAACCAGCCAAGUAGCGUGCAGGAUGACGGCCCUAUGGGUUGUAAACUGCUUUUAUAAGGGAAUAAAGUGAGUCUCGUGAGACUUUUUGCAUGUACCUUAUGAAUAAGGACCGGCUAAUUCCGUGCCAGCAGCCGCGGUAAUACGGAAGGUCCGGGCGUUAUCCGGAUUUAUUGGGUUUAAAGGGAGCGUAGGCCGGAGAUUAAGCGUGUUGUGAAAUGUAGAUGCUCAACAUCUGCACUGCAGCGCGAACUGGUUUCCUUGAGUACGCACAAAG